UGACGCUGGCGGUAGGCUUAACACAUGCAAGUCGUGCGAGAAAGUAUCUUCGGAUAUGAGUAGAGCGGCGGACGGGUGAGUAACGCGUAGGAAUCUACCUAGUAGAAGGGGAUAGCCCGGGGAAACCCGGAUUAAUACCGUAUACCUCCUUUGGGAGAAAGAAGGCCUCUCUUUAGAAGCUUUCGCUACUAGAUGAGCCUGCGUAAGAUUAGCUUGUUGGUGAGGUAAAGGCUCACCAAGGCGACGAUCUUUAGCUGGUCUGAGAGGACGAUCAGCCACAUUGGGACUGAGACACGGCCCAGACUCCUACGGGAGGCAGCAGUGGGGAAUAUUGGACAAUGGGCGCAAGCCUGAUCCAGCCAUACCGCGUGUGUGAAGAAGGCCUUCGGGUUGUAAAGCACUUUAAGCAGGGAGAAAAAGUUAUAAGUUAAUACCUUAUAACCCUGAUGUUACCUGCAGAAUAAGCACCGGCUAAUUCCGUGCCAGCAGCCGCGGUAAUACGGAAGGUGCAAGCGUUAAUCGGAAUUACUGGGCGUAAAGCGCGCGUAGGUGGUUUGUUAAGUUGGAUGUGAAAGCCCUGGGCUCAACCUAGGAACUGCAUCCAAAACUAACUCACUAGAGUACGAUAGAGGGAGGUAGAAUUCAUAGUGUAGCGGUGGAAUGCGUAGAUAUUAUGAAGAAUACCAGUGGCGAAGGCGGCCUCCUGGAUCUGUACUGACACUGAGGUGCGAAAGCGUGGGUAGCGAACAGGAUUAGAUACCCUGGUAGUCCACGCCGUAAACGAUGACAACUAGCUGU
Molecule: ribosomal RNA, 798 nt
Filed under: uncultured Gammaproteobacteria bacterium
Lineage: Bacteria; Pseudomonadati; Pseudomonadota; Gammaproteobacteria
Description: bacterial SSU rRNA
Rfam family: Bacterial small subunit ribosomal RNA
Source: RNAcentral